CAGUCCAGGUGGUUGAGAUGCGUUUCUUUUUGAAAAUGGUCGUAUCACAGCCUGCUUGGAUUAUG
This 65-nucleotide microRNA precursor is filed under the name Eisenia fetida (common brandling worm). RNAcentral's name for it is "Efe-Mir-2-P12g_pre stem-loop". The record is from RNAcentral. Lineage: Eukaryota; Metazoa; Annelida; Clitellata; Crassiclitellata; Lumbricidae.